RNAcentral lists this long non-coding RNA (1138 nucleotides) under Trifolium pratense (red clover). RNAcentral's name for it is "long non-coding RNA (TPRA_LNC008013)". Lineage: Eukaryota; Viridiplantae; Streptophyta; Magnoliopsida; Fabales; Fabaceae. The record is from RNAcentral.
UUUCUUUCAAAAAAUAAAAAAAAACUUUUACGUCUAUUUCUCAUCAAACUGAUAGUGAUAUUCCAUCUUCUCCCUUCUUCCUUUAUUUUCUUCUAAAACUACACAAAUUAUUUGUUACUUAAGUGCUUACAUAAAAAUUAACAUCAUCCAUUCCCUCACUAGAUUUUGUUUUCCAGACGUUGUUUCCAUCACUUAAAUUAUCACUAAGACUAUCAUCAGGUACGUACGCAAUUAACAAUUCCUUUUUUUUUUUCUUUCUUUUUUCCCAAUAGUCAGAAAUCUUCAUUAAUUUGUACCUUAGAUUGAUUUGUUAUUAUUCUACCAAACAUCAAUCAGUAUUAAAAAUAUUUUAAUCAUAUGUCUAGAUUAAUUUUUUGUUAUUGUUGUGAUGAAUUUUGAGUAAGAUGGCAUGAUUUAGGUAUAAAGGAAAGGUAGAGAAUGGAAUUGGUGAUAUCGCUACCAUUAAUAGUGUUAAUCUUGAUAUUGGCUUUAGCAUGCUACCUUUUGGGGAGGUGCAGGGGUAGUAAACAAUCAAUUUCUCAUCCACAACAGUUUGGGCCUCCAGCUCCUCCACCACAAGCCCAACCAUGAUAACAAAAGGCCCAAAAUUGUUUUAGAUUAUUAUUAGUAUAUGGUUAUUGGACUUUGAAAACUAACUAUUAUAUGUAAUUGUAAAUAAUUAUCUAGUAAUACUAUGUUAAUGCUAUAUUCAUGUAGAAUUGAGCAACACAGAAGGAGAAAAAUUGUCGUAAUACGAUUGAUAUUUAUUAUUGUUACUCAUUCAUGACUUUAUCUUGAAUGUAUAGUUGAAAAAUUUAAUUUUGUUUUCCCAUUAACAGUAUGUUGAAUACUUGAAUGGUUGUUGUUUUGGGAUUAGAUUCAAGAUUAAGACAUGAAUGAGUAACAAUAUAAUAUGUAGUUUUGUUUUUUGGUUACAUGAUAAAAGCAAAAAGAAAAAAGAAAAAGUAAAAGAAAAAACUAUUGGCCGCGAAAAUAAUUGACAUCCAUACUAUCCGCCAUAAGUAGUAAACGGAGUUCAGCUGGAGGAUCAAGAACCAUCAAUAGUUUGCUCAUAGAUCUUGUCCCAAACUUUGCUAAAGAGUCAACACACAUAUUACCCUCUUUGAGUGAGUGACAC